AGCAGCCGCGGUAAUUCCAGCUCCAAUAGCGUAUAUUAAAGUUGUUGCAGUUAAAAAGCUCGUAGUUGAACUUCAGGCCUGGCUGGACGGUCCGCCCUCUGGGUGAGCACUGUCUGUGGUCGGGUCCUACCUUCUGGCGAAGCGGCAUGGCCUUAACCGGCCGUGGCGGGGAACCAGGACUUUUACUGUGAAAAAAUUGAGUGUUCAAAGCAGGCACGCGCUUGAAUACAUUAGCAUGGAAUAAUGGAAUAGGACAAUGGUUCUAUUUGUUGGUUUCUAGGACCGUUGUAAUGAUUAAUAGGGAUAGUUGGGGGCAUUAGUAUUCAAUUGUCAGAGGUGGAAUUCUUGGAUUUAUUGAAGACUAACUACUGCGAAAGCAUUUGCCAAGGAUGUUUUCAUUAAUCAAGAACGAAAGUUAGGGGAUCGGAGACGAUCAGAUACCGUCGUAGUCUUAACCAUAAACUAUAGACCGACUAGGGAUCGGACGAUGUUAACCUUUCUUGACUCGUUCGGCGCCUUA
Molecule: ribosomal RNA, 520 nt
Filed under: uncultured Paraglomus
Lineage: Eukaryota; Fungi; Glomeromycota; Glomeromycetes; Paraglomerales; Paraglomeraceae
Description: SSU rRNA
Rfam family: Eukaryotic small subunit ribosomal RNA
Source: RNAcentral